Halobacillus mangrovi is the source of this 112-nucleotide non-coding RNA. Lineage: Bacteria; Bacillati; Bacillota; Bacilli; Caryophanales; Bacillaceae. The record is from Rfam.
GCGAUGAGCUGUUUGUGUAAGACGAAGUAUAAGCUUAAAAGCUAAACGACGAAUGUGGUCGUCGGUACAUUCGCGACAAAAAUCGAAAGCCUUCCCUUUGAAUAGGGAAGGC